Molecule: ribosomal RNA, 497 nt
Filed under: uncultured bacterium
Lineage: Bacteria
Description: partial 16S ribosomal RNA
Rfam family: Bacterial small subunit ribosomal RNA
Source: RNAcentral
GAUGAACGCUGGCGGCGUGCCUAAUACAUGCAAGUCGAGCGAACGGACGAGAAGCUUGCUUCUCUGAUGUUAGCGGCGGACGGGUGAGUAACACGUGGAUAACCUACCUAUAAGACUGGGAUAACUUCGGGAAACCGGAGCUAAUACCGGAUAAUAUUUUGAACCGCAUGGUUCAAAAGUGAAAGACGGUCUUGCUGUCACUUAUAGAUGGAUCCGCGCUGCGUUAGCUAGUUGGUAAGGUAACGGCUUGCCAAGGCAACGAUGCAUAGCCGACCUGAGAGGGUGAUCGGCCACACUGGAACUGAGACACGGUCCAGACUCCUACGGGAGGCAGCAGUAGGGAAUCUUCCGCAAUGGGCGAAAGCCUGACGGAGCAACGCCGCGUGAGUGAUGAAGGUCUUCGGAUCGUAAAACUCUGUUAUUAGGGAAGAACAUAUGUGUAAGUAACUGUGCACAUCUUGACGGUACCUAAUCAGAAAGCCACGGCUAACUACGUG